RNAcentral lists this ribosomal RNA (449 nucleotides) under uncultured bacterium. Its description in RNAcentral is "partial 16S ribosomal RNA". It matches the Rfam family "Bacterial small subunit ribosomal RNA", at positions 29 to 523 of the family's 1533-position model. The record is from RNAcentral.
AACGAACGUUGGCGGCAGGCUUAACACAUGCAAGUCGAACGCAUCCUUCGGGGUGAGUGGCAGACGGGUGAGUAACGCGUGGGAACGUGCCCUUCAGUUCGGAAUAACCCAGGGAAACUUGGGCUAAUACCGGAUACGUGCGAGAGCAGAAAGAUUUAUCGCUGAAGGAUCGGCCCGCGUCUGAUUAGCUAGUUGGUGGGGUAAUGGCCCACCAAGGCGACGAUCAGUAGCUGGUCUGAGAGGAUGAUCAGCCACAUUGGGACUGAGACACGGCCCAAACUCCUACGGGAGGCAGCGGUGGGGAAGAUGGGACAAUGGGCGCAAGCCUGAUCCAGCCAUGCCGCGUGAGUGAUGACGGCCUUAGGGUUGUAAAGCUCUUUCGUCCGGGACGAUAAUGACGGUACCGGAAGAAGAAGCCCCGGCUAACUUCGUGCCAGCAGCCGCUGUAA